RNAcentral lists this long non-coding RNA (282 nucleotides) under Musa acuminata (dwarf banana). RNAcentral describes it as "long non-coding RNA (MACU_LNC007115)". The record is from RNAcentral. Lineage: Eukaryota; Viridiplantae; Streptophyta; Magnoliopsida; Zingiberales; Musaceae.
AGAACACAAACUCAUCCCGUAGGAAAAAGCCUCUCCAUCCACUGUUGGGGGAGUGCUCCUUCGGGUACUUGAUAUACGCCAAUGGGAUGAUUGAUUGAAUUUUGGUCAUGUAUUUAUCUUGAUUUGACUUUUGGGGUUCCUACUCAGCAUUGCUGAAUUUUCUUUGUUUUUGAUUUUCAGAGCAGCCUCCCUCUAGUACUAAAUCGGAUUCCAGUGGAGAGCGGACCUUCCUCUACCGCUAGGUAGAGCCACUAGGAUGACUCUUGAAGUUAACAUCACUAU